UUCCAUGGUGAAAUCUCAAAAAACUAUUCCUUGAGCCAAGUUUUGCCUCAAUCUAAGAAACCCUCCUUUAAUUCCUUAUUUUCAAAGGAAAGAAGGACUAAGUCCCCACCCAGAGGUUUGAUGUCAAAAUCAAUUAUUUCUUUUGCUAAUAAGUAAUGCUCAAUUUUUGGCAAAGAUUUAAUAUCCAAAACUCUAGCAAUGGCUGAUCUCUCUAAAAGAGCUUGGUUUUGUUUGGCAAAGUCUUAUGGAGCUAUAUAUUUGCCAGAGACAGUGUUGUGGGCUUGAUGAGUUUCAUUUCAAGGAAGAACAGGACAAAUAUCAAUAGCUUCUUGUAUUUUGCUACCAUUCUUCUUAACCCAUAUCUGCUUACAGCUCUCUUUCUUAUUUUCCUUUGUGUUUAUUGCUGCUUUCCCUUUCCAACGUCGUUGUUGAUUGCGAUAGGGUUUAUUGAGGCCGCUUCUGUGGUUCCGAUAAGAGAAGCUAGGCUGAGAGUGGGCAUGGGUAUUAUAAAAGGUCCUCCCUAAUCUAGAUUGAAAUGCACGUAGCUUAUAAGUAUCUACCCAAAUUUUAUUGAGUACAUCAAGAAUGUUUUUGAAGCUGAAGGUAGAGGAGGCUUUGAUGAAACCAAAUCUCCGACCCCUAUGAGUGAGUUUUUGAGGAAUGGAAAUACUAACAAUGUCACCAGGCUUGAAGAUUUUGAGAAGAGCAUUAGCAUCCCAGUUUGGUGGAAAGUUUUCAAAGUAUAUGGAGAGUGAGUUAUUUUGGGUGGUUUGUGAUGGUUUGGACGUAUUGUGUUGGCCGGAGAAAUGGAAAAACCAUGAGACCCUUUGACCCAUCUACCUCUU
This 845-nucleotide unclassified non-coding RNA is filed under the name Hevea brasiliensis (rubber tree). Lineage: Eukaryota; Viridiplantae; Streptophyta; Magnoliopsida; Malpighiales; Euphorbiaceae. The record is from RNAcentral.